Long non-coding RNA from Motacilla alba alba, 16598 nucleotides. RefSeq lists it as uncharacterized. The transcript is spliced from 5 exons. The record is from RefSeq and is a predicted model, not a curated record. Lineage: Eukaryota; Metazoa; Chordata; Aves; Passeriformes; Motacillidae.
GGGCUGGUUGGGCUGUUCCUACUGCCCAGCUGUUUGUGAUGAGCAAAUGAGCUAUGCCAGAGCCUGAUUGGUUGGGCUGGGCACAGCCUGGGGCUUUUCCCAGUGCUUGGGGGAGUGUAGGGGUUUGGCUGUAAUACAGGAGCUGCUGGGAGCAUGGGGCUGCUCCUCAGAUUUGUGUAGGCUCCUUUCCACAGGAUAGGCAGUUUUCAGGUGUCAAGAAAAAACAAGAAAUAUCUUGUCUCCUCUCCAUUACUCCUUACUAUUUAAUCAGCCAAGCUGUUUGGGCACAAACUCCAGAAGGAAAAAUAAUUGGACUCCACAGACAGCAGUAAGAACUCAGAUCCCAGAGCUACUGACAAAUCAAAAGACAUCGUGCUCUUUGCUGAACCUUCUUUGCCCUCUCUCCCACCCAGAGAGCCUGGGAGCCUGCUCUCUGUGGACUUCACUCAGUGCCACAGCGAGAAACUUUGCUCUUUGAUUUCUAAGAGCCCUUUCCUUGUGGCCUGAAGCCAGUGGAAUCAUAUGUUGACACAAGUCUCCAUUGCUUGGGCAGAGUCAGGGUGUAAACAGCACAUAACAUUUGCUCAAAGGUUCAAACUUUUUUUUUAAUAUUCCUGGUACUUUUCAGAAAAUAGGUGAGUAUUGGUACCUCAUUUUUUAAGUACCCUAAGUAUUGAUUCAUCAAGCAACAAAGAUUUUUUUUUUCAUUAAAGCUAUAAUUUUCAUAAAAAUUUAUAUAGAAAAUAGCAUGUCAUUGGUUGGAAAACACAGAAAAAAAACUCUCCAUGUAAAUCCUCAUAAUGUGUCAUUAGUGACAAUCCUAGUAAGUUAUCUCAACCAGAAAAUUAAGGGAUUUUUAACAUGUAAAUACAGAUGCAAAGAAGAAAUCUAGACAUUCAGGUCAGGCUUCCAUAUGAGUAAAUAUAUUCUUUAAUUUAUUAAUGAAGUUCAGAAUCUUGUUAAAUUGUUUACUAAACAGAGCUUCAGUAUCUUUUAUGUCUGUAGCUGAAUGUAUUUUAAAGAGUUAGAAAGUCAAUACAUGAAAGAUUAAAAUCAUGUGAUUCACUUGUCUCUCAGCAGGGUGGCCAAGUCUGCUCCCAUUAAAGCUGUCAUUGCCAUGGUACCUAAAAUACCAACACUCACAGACUGAGGGAAAUGUACACAUGAAGGUCUUUAUCAUUACAUAUGAAUAUGAAAGUAACAAUUGAUAAUCUUGCACAUCAAUGUUCUGCUGCAAACACCCAUCUUCUAAUUUUGUGCACAUUCCAAACUUACUAUUCUAGGAUUUGGAGGAGUUUUUAUCAGUCAGGCUUGCCACUGAUGCAAAUCCAAGGCACCUUCAAACAAAUUGUCACUGUAAUUGUGUUGUGUGCCCACUUCUCUCGAAUCCCAAAGUUUUUCUGCUCAGCUUGAACAACACACUCUGUUGCUGAUAAGGCACUCAGAGGUGGCUGUAUGUUAGAAUAGAAACUUUUUUAAUGCCAGCAUUGUUUUCUUAGAAUAGCAACCUUUCUGGUUGAAAUGUUGCUAGGUUGUUUUUCUUUUUUUCUUUCGCAUAUUGUGUUUUGAUGAGAAGCAUUUCAAUCAUUUUAAAUCAGAAAGAUUAAAAUGUCUUUUUUUUUAGAGUAGAUGAUACAAAACAUAAACAAUUACAGCAUUGAAAUUGAAUUACAUAUAAUUGGCACUCCAGCAGCUCAAGGUCUCCAAUAUAGUUUCAUAACUUUGUCUUACAUCUUUUAUAAAGAAACUGUGCAGAUGGAAGACACUUUACAAGGAAGGCAUUGACAUGAGAGUGAUUCCUUUAUGGUACUUUAUUUUAUGUAAGGAUGUCUGUGAGGGAGGUGUCAGGUGAAUACAGAGUUAUUUAAUAUCUUUUAUCUGUUUAUUCUAGUUGGUAAAUAUGUGUGUGACUUCUACAUAGUGUAUCUAUCUAAUACCUAGGUAUCCAAAUUACUGCACCUUGUGGGAGUGGAGUAUAGUAAAUUUUGACAUUUAACCACAUUAGAGUAAAAUUCAAGCAUGUAUGGAAAAAAAUGCUCUUAGCAAGUGUGUUGUAGCACAAGUGAACAAAACAAUUAACACUGAAGUUAAAUGAUGUGCUACAGCCAUAGACAUACCAGGGGAAAUAUCCAUAGCCAUUCUUUUGAACAGAAGAACCACUGUUUUUCCAAUUUCUCACAGGCCGCUGUGCCUCCACAUCAUCAAUCUUUAUAAGCACAUAAGAGCUGUAAAUUAAUGAACACGUAAUGUGUUUAAGCAGUUCACACAUAAAUUGAUGAACAUGCUGAAGUUUGUGUUUUUGUACCUAGAGCGUCAUCUAGUGGGAAACUGGGAUUAUCCCUUCCCUGUUCAGCUCCAAGUGGAAUGGUUUGUAAAAAGGAAAAUAAUACAGCAGAGAUAGCUAUGAAGGGACAGAGCUUUCUUCAUAAUUAAAUUUUACAUUUUUAUAAAAAAUAAAAGGCAAACUAGACUGUUGGAGUAAAAUUAAAUUCUCGUAGACUUCUGAAAAAUUACCAUAUAUCAAUAUGUCAGAUACAGGCAAGCUUGCAUAGCUCAUAACAAAUCUUUACACAUACAGUUUUAAAGUAUUUAAUUUAUAUUGUAAUAGCUAUAAAGUGGAAAAACUGCUGCUCCUCAAAUUAAAAUCAAAGCUUUAUUCUUGAAAUAAUAACACAAAAGUGAGGAUGUAACAAAUCUAUUUUUAGUAUUUACAGAAAGAACAUUGUUUUGCCUGAGGAAACCUUCAGAAAAAUAAUUUGGUGAGCAUUUCCUACAAAAUCAUGCCUGGACACUCUUUCUUCUCUGACACAGGGACUCAGGCAGGUCAGCUUCUCCAAAGUCAGCUUUGCUUUAAACCUUAAAAAUAAAUAGCUUCCUUAAAGAAAUAACAUUCAGUUUAAACAGUUACAACACAGCAGAAUUACAGAAAUUCAGUAGCCAGUCCAGAUUUGUGCUGUUUUCAGCUGUGAUGCUACUUCAGAUGUCUUGAAGCACAGUUCAUGAUAUCAUUAAUUCAUAAGGAUACACUACUGAAUUGCUGAGUCUAAAUAAAAAUCUCUAUGGGGUGCUACUUUAUUAUAUUUUUCAUACUGAAAAUCGGAAGCCACCUGGACCACUGACUAAACUUUAAAAGGAUUAAAAUACCUGCUGGAAAAUUUGGAAUGGAUUGAAGUCCUGAUGGAGGUUUUUUUGUGUUUUUACAAACUUAACUGGUUCUCUGAGACAUAAUUAUCAAAGUGCCAUACGAAAGGCAAUCUUAGAGGAAGUUUUGACCAGAUAGAAAUGGAUUGGUGUUUGUGUGUGUGAGAUGCCUGACCUGAAAAUACAUUUUUCCAAGUUUCAAUGUUGUUUGCAGAUCCAAGCUCUGUGUGCAAACAUCUUUCUUCUUUACCAGAGACCUCAAGACUUUUUAAGACUGGGGAUGGACUUUAUAGUAGCAGGGCCUGUAGCAAUAGACAAGGGGUAAUGAUUUUAGACUGAAAGAAGCAAGAUUUAGACAGGACAUAAGGAAGAAAUCUUUUAUGAUGAGGAUUACAGAACACUGGAACAGGCUGUCCAGAGAGGGGGCACAUACCCCAUCUCUGGAAACAUUCAAGGCCAGGUUGAAUGGGGCUCUAAGCAACCUGAUCUACUUGAAGAUGCCCUUGCCCUCAGAGGUUGGACUGCAGGACCUGUAAAGGUCCCUUCCAAACCGAACCAUUCUAUGACUGUGAUUCUAUGAUUUGUCACCAUUUUCUUAAUGGGGAUAGGAGAAGGUGUAGUUAAAUUUGAGGCUGGACUGAAAGAUCCAGGACUGAAAGAUCCAUAAUUUCUUGGGACUAGAAAUUGAUGGUUCCUCGCUCUGGAGGACCAUCUUAAAGGAAAUCUGUCUUACUGUAAUGAAGAAGAGGUAUAGAAAAACAUCAGCAAGGGAAGAGGUAGCAAGAGAAACAGAAACACAAAGGAAAAGUCUGAUAAAUAGAAAAUGUCAUGAAAAUUAAUAGACAGAGAGAAAAAGGAGACUGUACAAUGGGAGAAAACAGGGACUGAGAAAAGUUCAAAGAAAAUACUAGCUUAACCUCAGUAACCCACUCACACUGUAAGGGCAGAGAAUCUCAUUUAACAUUUCUUAGGUUUCAGAAUUCAUUGUACACUGAAAGAAUACUUGAUAAAUUAUUUAGACAGUUUCAACUGAGAUUGGAAAAAUCCCAGCCUGUCAGAAGCUAGGUUAAAAAAGGUUGAUGCUGUAUAAAUAAUUUACUUCUUUGGGGAGGAAAAAACAUACAAAUGCUGUGUCUAGAGUAGAGAAGUGCUAAACCUGCUGAAGCUCAGUAGCCAUACAGUGGGUUUAAGCCAGCACUAUAAACUGAGUGCUCUCAUUUAAAAGCAGAGGUUAUGCCAAAUCUAAGUUAUCAAAAGAAUAUCAACAUUAAAGAUUCUACAAUCCAGUUCUUUUGUACAUGUACAUUUUUACCACCAUGAGAAUAGUCCAAUUUAAGAAAAAUAUAUAUAAAAGCCUCUUUUUUCAGUGAUUUCCUCUGGCAACUAAUUUAAGUAAAGCAAACUUAUCACAUCAGUGUUGGGUUUUUCUUAAUUAAUUCGUUUCAUUUCUAUAAAACAGACACCCUCUAGCUUCACCAUAACAAUCCACUGUUCUUAGCAGAUAGUUCCUGUUCUAGUCAGAAUUGCUUAACAUUUCAAGGGAACCAGGUCAUGGGGUUUGUUUAUUUUUACAUGAAGUAAUUAUUACUUAAUUUUUAAUUAUAGUAUUUUUAAGAGAAAUCACCAUGGUAACAGAUGAAAGGAAUUUUUUACAUAUAUAUUCUAUUAUGGUUUUCAUUUCAGUAAGCAGAGGUACAGAAUUUGACAGCAAUGAGCUUCUAUUGCAACAUACGAGCACUGUGUAAUACUCUGAGUAAAGUCAUUUCAGUAAUAUCAGAUGUACAGUGAGCACAGAAGCUGUCCCCACUGCCAGCUUAGCUUUGCUGGCUGUCACAAGUCCCAAAGACACCAUUCCAUAAGGAACUUCUGUCCCCUGUUCCUCACUAAAGUCUACAGAAUCUGAGGAGACUCAGCAGCCCAGGAGGGAUAAGGUCCUAAAUUCUGUCCUUAGUUCUGACCACUACACUCUCCCUCAGACAAAUAAAAAUCAGCCUAUCACUUAAUUCUGUGUAUGCUCAAUGCACUUUGUGUAUUGAAUGAUAUCAAUAAAUGGAAAUAUUGUUCUGGCUGACAUGUAUCAGGGCAUCUCGGAUUUGUGGCUAGCAGAAGAAAAUAAAUACUAUAGAUCUGGAAGGUGAUUGAUGGAUUAAAGCUCUGCAGACAGGAGUUAGCUAGAACAAAAUACCUCAAACUCCUUCAUGUGUGCCAUAUAUAAAACAGGAAUUCCACUUGUCUGCCUCCUACACAGCCCUGCCAGCUCACCAGGCUCAGCCAGGAUAUCUGCCUGUCAAAGCUGCUGUGCAGAGUGUGCCUCGAUACUUGUCAGUAGAAUUAUUGUGUGUUCCCUGUGUGAAGAAGAUGAAUUUAGAUCUUCAAAGUAUUACCUGUGAGAGCACACCAGAGCAGCACACCCCAUAAUUUGGCUGCCCCAUGGGGGAGGCUGGGGGAAGCAGAGUCUUUAUUAUUUCCUGAGAAAUUUACAAGCAUAUGGCCCCCAGAAUGGCAACACCUACAGCAGGCAUGGCCAUGAUCCAGCCAUGUGCAUCCCAUAACCAAAAAUAUAACACACUCUGUCUGUCUUCAGGGCCCUCAGAGUGCUUCUUUAACUAAUUAAUGUAAUUUCCCUCUGUAAUACUGAUGUGAAGAAGAUUCCUUUGUUUUGACCUACAAGCCUCAGUCACCUUUCAGCUCUGAGAGGCUCUAACAUCAUCUUAUGUCUGGGGCUUCAGCCAAGGAGAGUGGCAAAUCCCUGCCCUCCUCAGCCUUUGCCCAGGGACCCCUUGGAUGUUUCACAGGCUUUGGCUUUGGAUGCAAUCAUUAAUGUCUUGAUUCUUGUCAGCUCUGAGGUCUGUGUUCAGUAAAGAUACAUAACUCUCAUCACAAUAGGAUUUGCCUGAAACAUUGGCUUUAAUUUGAUGUCUUUUUUCCACAUUAAAUGUUUUCCUGCAAGAGCUUAAUGAAGAGAUAAUAAAAGACUUGGAAGUUUUCUCUUCCAUUUACAUUGGAUAUUUACAUUUACAAUGGAUAUUUUUACACAGGUAGUGCUCAAAGCAGAGAUAAAUGUUCUAGGUUGUCUAAAAGCACUGUGGAUGAAGAAAAUUACCACCCUCAGAUUUAGCAGCAGAGUAUUUAUAUAUAAGUACAACAACAGUUUGUAAAGUCAUAUGGACUUUGCAGUAGGGAGUAAAGUGGGGAGCAAGAGAGUUUCCCUUUUAGAGCUAUCUUUCAAAAUAAAUGCCAAAUCUGCUGUCUACGAUGGAAUUCUCCCAUUUUCGAAGAGUAAACUCAGCUAGUUCAAAAGUACUGCAAAAUUGAGUUAAUAUUUUGUAUUCCUGAAUAUUUUUUAAAAAGAAAACUUCAGAAAAAUCAAGCAAUUCCUUACUAUUUAUCCCUUUCAAAUAAGGCUUUAUUCUCUGCUUGAUCAAGGGGUUUAUCAAGGUUUUUAUGUAUUUAUUUACUAUUUUCCCAGACUUGUCAAUUUGAGUAUAACAAACGAAUAAAAGUAAACAGCACUAAAUAAUUAUAGUAAAACUGAACAAAAAGAAAUGGAGAAUUAAUGUCCUUGUUAAAUUUGACAUCAUCCUUUGCUUCCAGAAUUAGCUGCCUAUUCAGUGUUUAUUUUCUUCACAUUUAUUUACAUAAAAUAAAUGUAAAGAAAGAAAAAAAUGUAAUUUUUUUUCCUCUCUGCUACCAGAGAGGAAAAAAUAGCUAGUGAGUAAAUAUGGCACAGGAUUUAAAAAGUCUGUUGCAGAGAUAUUCUUUUUCUUAUAUAGACCUCUAGUCACUAUAUGGGAAAAUACUGACAUGGCAAAAGAAACAAAACUCUUAAUGCCCUCUGCCUUUUAUUAACACUAAUGAAGCUGGAGAACAGGCUGCCUGGGGAAGGGGUUUCAAGAGUGCAGAUCCCUACCCCUGAAACAUCCCACUGUACUACUGGGGUUCCUCUGUGAGAAAAAUGAGACUCAGCCACUGAUAUAUGUGCCACUUCGGGUUAAAUUCUCUGUGAAAAAAAAAAAAGUAAUGGCACACAUCAGGUGGGAAGUGUUAUUUUUAAACUGGUACAAUAUAUUAGUACAUGUUCUAAUUGCUUGGUUGUUGGUGUAGGAGGUAAGACGCAGGAAGGAGACGCGAAGGGAUGUUAUGGGGGGGUGUGUGUGUGUGUGUAUGUGUGUGUUUGCGGCCUGUUCCUACAGGGGGGCUCACACAGGGACGGUGUCAGGAAGCAUCAUUUUGUCCAAAGUGAUGUAGCCCAUCACUAACCUGGCACAGCGCUGCCUUCCAGGCAUCCCGCUGGGCUCCGCUCCAGUGCCAAUGCCCGCAGAUGCCAGGGACCGAAAUGGAAACACGGACACCGCAGCUACCACUGCGGUCAUUGGAAGCGUAAUCGCGGGGGCUGGCUUGGGGGAGGAGUAUUUAAGCUGCAUUUUGUUUCUAUUCUUGCAUGGCCGCAUAACAAUUACCCACUCGCACGGGGCUGUCCCCGGCUGCCCGCCGGCCGUGUCGCUCCGCGGGCGCCCGGCCGGGCCCGCCCCGCCUUUGUUCCGCGCCCGUCCCGCACGAGCGGUGCCAGCAUCCCGCUGCCGCUGCCAUGCCGGGAUCUGCUCCCUCUUCCCCGCCGAUCCCAUUUGCAUCUCAAUGCCAGAACUGGGCCGAGGAGCGGGGCUCCAUCUCACUCACGCCGCAGCAAUAAUUGAUUUCAGGCCUGAGUAAGUCUAUUGAGCCCGAUUUUCUCCCGAUUUACACAGGAGAAACCAAGAUCAGUUUGUGACCUCUCUGUAAGAUGGGACAUCAUUAUAAAGUAUUUGUCUCUUGGCAUACAUGAAGAGCCAAGGACGCAGUGCUUUUCUCAUUUCUGUUUCCAUCCAACUAUUACUCACUUCUGUGACAACCUCUUCUACAGAUGCUGGCAAAUGACAAAAAAAAAAAAAAAAAAAAAAAAAAAAAAAGGCAAGAAAAUACAAUGAGAAACAUUUACACUUAUAUAUGCAUAGCUGUAUAAUCACUAAGAAGAAAAAAAAUUUCUUGGCCGAGUAGAAUUAAAGAAAUAUCCACAAAGCUAAAGCUGGUUUUAUUAAGUUCUGUCUUUCUGCUGCCUUCACUCACUUUCUUCUUGUAUUCAUCAUUUCAUUAUUUUACUUUCUCAUAGAGCAGUAAGGUCAAGACAGUGAGCCCAGCUGCUGGCUGCUAGCUGAGACUGAGCCUUUGAGGUGGAGAGUGGGAUCUGGCAUUACUGUAUAUUUUACUGAGGACUUUUUAAGGUACCAAGAUUCUUAGCUAGUAAAUAAAAAGAGAUGAUUCAUGCUUUUCAAGAAUGGACAUUUUCCACACUCCCAGAGGUUCUUGCAAGCUGACUGAAGUAUAAUUCAGAAGGCACUUGUGAAGAAUUGACUUCCUAAAAUCCUUACCAUCCCUGCAGAGGUGCUUUGGUCCAAUUUUAAACAGGUAUUUAGUUCCCUGUUUUUGUUCAGCUUUUAUAUGCUGCUCAUUUUAGUGCAUCUUCCUUUGCAAAUCCCAGAACAGAAAGAAAUGUUGCAACUGCACAAGUCAAAUCUGUUUGAAGAGAAUGUAUUGUAAAAUUAUCUCUGUGUUCUUUUUAUACUAUGAAAGCGCUGACAGCACUUUGAUGUGGAAGGGAUGAGAUACAGUAAUCGGAGGGGCUGCUAUGAAAGGAACGACAUGCUUUAAGAUGGAGCUGUACAGAGAAACACACAGUAAUGACAGCUUCACACAACACCUAAUUUGAUUCUUUCGUUGCACCACAGUGAAUCUUUAAACCACAUCCACCUGCUAAUGAGCAGGGAAGCUUCUGAGCAGAGGUCACCUUUCUCCCACUUUUGUAAAAUUCACUCCACCCCACUUAUAAAACCAUCCAUUAUCACCCUCUCUUCCACAGCAUUUUGUCUUUGGUGAGUUUGCUGCCACAUAGAAAUCAAAUCAAGAAAGGGAAAAAUUAAUGCCUGUUUUUGCAGUUGAAAUUACUUCUAAUUUUUAAGUAGGAAUUACUUCUAUAGAGAGGGAAAUUAUUUACAAAUAUUCCUUAAAAAAGGAGACCUCUUUCCCCAGCCCAAGUAAUUAACAAAUGCAAAGCUGGGAUCCUGCAGUUUCAAGCAGGAGUAACAUUACAUACAUCCUUGCAGAUCAUUGCUGAACCAGCAGUGACUUGUUGUGUGGGAUCACAUUUUGGUAUUGCCAGCUCAGGUUGGGAAAGGUUGACUAAAAUUGGUGAAAACUAGAAAUUUCAAGAGCAAAAUUAUUUUCUCUACAGAGAAAUGUCAUACUCACUCAUACACCUAUUGAAGGUUGAUAUUUGUUUGGCUCAAAGCUAAAAAGAGCAAACUUCCAGAUUUAAGGCAAACAUUGAAUUUUGAAUGCUAGAAAAUAAAUGCCUCAAAUUAUUUUUAUGUUUAUGAAUGUUAGAUAGUGAAAUAUUUCCUAAAGCUCAGAUUAUUAACCAGAACAAAAGAAAUCUACUGCAUUGCAAAUAAUGAUGCCCUGAAUGCCUAGUGAAAGGCCAUGCUGAUUAGCUGUACCACAAUUUCCCUGUGUUGAUAUUAAACACAAAACACAAGGGACUCACCCCAAAGUGUCUGCCACUAUCACAAGGCACCUAAAAACUAUUUAUUUGAUUUUCCCAGAGGACAGUUUAUUCUCCCACUUCUGAAGUGCCUGCUGUGAUUCUAACAGACUGGAAAAACUAGACACAUUUGUGUCAAAGCUAUGAAGAUCCAUAAAAUGGUUAUUAAGAGAGUAGAUCUUUAUCUACAUUUAUUUGAGAGGCCAGUAUAGCCUUUAAAAUAUUACUACAUGGAUGCAUUUGACAGAUAAAUUACAGCACAUUUCUUUUAUUAUUAAUAAUUAGUUCCUAAUUAGUUGCAAUUCUAAUAUAAGGAGGAAUAAUUAUGUUUCUAAACUCAGUGAGCUAAAGAAUGGACACAGUCUGUGACCCAAAAGGAGUUUAUAAUUUCCAUGUAAAAAUAUUUAGUGAAUAUGUAAUGAAGCUGUGGGAGGCUGCAGGAUCUGGACAUCUCCUAUGGAGAGAACAAAGCCUCAUGUCACAGCGUUAAGCUUCAUGCUGCUGCUCUCCUGCAACCAAAGGGAACACUUUUAUUCUUUGGAACUUGGGGGUACCUAGGAAUGCUAUGAUCUAUUUCUUCUGUGUGUUUUAUAGUACUUCCUUUUUCUCAUACUCAUCUUCAUUCAGGCAAAUCUGUGCAACUCAGAAACAACCACAUCUGACCGGACCGGCUGCCCGCUGGAUCUGAGCAUUAUCUUGUUACUGCACUCCUGCUCUGGCACAGAUCUCAUCACAACACAAGGCUCUCACACUUACUUACCAGUCUGAAAAGCUCUGCAUAUUGAAGAGUUCAAAGUGCUGGCUUCCACCCCUAAAUCUCUCAGGGGCCUAGGACCUGGCUGAAAAGGGUCUGUAGAGAUAUACCAGAGAAAAUGAGAUCACUCUGCUAAAGAGAGAUAUUAGCAGGCUUUUUUGGGGAGACCAUGCCUACUAGUUAAACUUCUGUUGUAGGUUCAGUCCUGAGGUGUUCCUGUGACAGCUUACUGAAAGUUAUUUAAAGCAAAUAUAUGCUCUUAUGUGGGGUUUUUAUUUCAUUUAUGAGCUUCAACUUCUGGUGAACCCAUGCAAUGAGAUGGAGAGAAAGACAACAAAUUACCCAAAAUUCUGUUUGUAGUAGGUGUUUUUCAGGGUCAGAAAAAGUAGUGAUGACUGUUGACACUUAAAAAAUGUUUAAAAAAAUUAUCACUUCAGGUUAUCAUUAAAACCUGCCUCUCUGAGUUUUAGAGGCUAUUUCUGAUUAUUUUUGCAUAUAUUUCAUGUAUUUUAGCAAAAUACCUAAUAGGCUUGGUGUUUGUAUUUUUAUGACUGCUGUAACUAAAGCUGUUCCUUGUUUAUUCUCUCUUUGUUCUUGUUCACUUCAUGCUAUCUUUCUUCUCUGUUUAUCUACACACAAACAAACAAACAGUGCUUCCUGCUGCCUCCCAGACCACUGCCAGCUGUCCUGAUGUCAACUGGCAAAGGACAAAAGCAGCCCUGCCAUAAGGACCUUUGCUGAGAAGUGAUCUCUGCAGCCUCCUCCCUUUCUUCAGAGCGCCAGCAAAGAUAGCACAGCUCUCCAAACUGGAACCAUUAGAGGAAUUAAGUCAUUUGGUUAACUUUCCAUUAUUGGGCAUAAAACAAGAAAACCAAAACAAACACUCUUUUGACUGUUCUUCAAACCAACACCUCUGGUUGCAAUGCUGGGCAGAAUUUCUAUGUUCAGAGAAUUAAUAUACUGAUGAAUGGUUGACUUAAUUUUCUAAAAUUGUCCCUUCCUGAAAAAAAAAGCUCUUGGGGGCACUGUUUUGUUACAAAAAUAAGGGAAAAAAGCUGAGAAGAUUAAGAUGCUUCUGUUCUCAGAAUUGAGCUUCCCACAAUGAUACACAGUGACACUAUUGAGAAUAGCACAUAAGUGACAGAACUACUGUUGGUAAAUUUUGAUGCUAUGAAAAACUCCUCAGUGUCAAAAUUAAUCACAGUAUCAAAAUAAAUCAAGGUAAUUCAUAACUGCAGCUGAGAAGCAGUAUAACAGUAUAUUAGGGAACCUUCAAAAGGAUUUCCAGAAAUAACAGUUCAUUAAAGCUGUAGGUAAUGAAGGAGGUGGGGAAAAAGUCCAUAUUGUUGAUAAGAACUCACACGGUGGAAAACAACAAAAGCUAUUGGAUUAGGUAGAUAAAAAUAAGAAAACAUCUUAAUUCCUAGAGAAUCUGUGUCUAAAGGAAGAAAUUCUAAAACUAAUUAACAAAACCCUAUCUUUCAUAAUAAUUCUCAUAAAAGCAGCUUCCCUAUGGUCCAAUGCUUGAAAAAAAAAAAAAAAAACCACAACAAAAUCCCAAACCCUCUAAUCCUUACUAAAAUACACUAGCAGGAACAUACACGCACACACACAAAGAAAGGGUUCAUAUCCAAAAAAACAAAAAACAGAUUACUUUCAAAGAUUAAGAUUAUAUCAAAUGAUAUUUCUUAAUUUGCUUCUCUAGAGUAAACCCAGUUUAAAGCUAAAACAUCCGAGUAACAGUUAGGGAACAUCUUUUGUAAGUUCGUGUCACUUGAUGCUUCUUGACCUGUGGUCUGUUUUAGGACUACUGAGUUCUGAAUAUACUUGAUCAGGUGGGUAUUUGUGCUUCUUUUCAGCUCAGUCGAUUGAGGAGGCUGCCUGUCCUUGCUUUAACCUACUUUCCCUGCUAAAGUCAUUUUGCCUCAUAAGCCCCAUGGAGAUUUGAGAGGCAAAGCCAAUUUAUUCCUACAGUGGUCCCACUUUGUUCAGAAAUAUUGCCAAAGGCUCAUUUGGAAACCCUUCUCACAGGAAAUAGGAACAUUUGGUACUUUGCAAAAACCGUAAGGACUCAACUCAAAAUAGAAAGGUACAGUUAGCAACCGUAAGAGGAGUGUACUGCUUCUCUUCAAAUAUAACAUCUGAGGAAAAAGCCCAUUAAAAAUGAACAAAAAUAAUUAAUGUUCACAUGGGGUGAUUCUAAGCAUUAACUAUUGACUAACUGUUUGACAUUUAUUAUUUAUAAUGUAAUAUAUUCUGUUUCUGAUGUGGAGUUUACCACACAUUCUGUAGCAGAGUUAAAGAAAAAUACUAGUUUUGUGUGUAGUUUUCAUGUUGCAGUUUAUGUCUUAAAAUUUAGAAGUCUUUUCGUCAUGAUGAAAAAGGAUGGAACAGUCACAAUUACAAAUUCCGAAAAAAAAAUCUCAAUUUUUUUCUUUAAUUUGUAAAAAAUCCAAGUAUAUGUUGCUAUGCUGGGAUACCUCCUAUGCAGCAAGACACAGAGGUGACAGAUGGAGGGUGCCACCUGUAUCCAGACAGGGAUGGAUAUUACUGGCACUACUCAAGAUCCCUUUGUAGCUUCACAAGGGACUACUGUCAUUGCUUUAUGUGAUCCCCCCAGUGAAGAUAAAAUCUGUCUGUCCAGAAGGAAUCCUGAGAAGAAGGCCAUUUUUUGACAGUGCUCAGCUGCACUCAUGGUGUCCCCAGAAGUUUUGUGAAGUGAAUACUUCACCACAAUUAGGACAACAAAGACAUAUAAACAUUCCAGUAAUGGGAUGGCUGAAUUUCCUACCCUGGGUAGCUGAGAGGAACCAUGCAUGGCCAUGGUGGUACAGGGAGGAAACAGUGCUUGGGAUUAGAAUUUACCCUUAAAAUAAAAAAAAUAAUAAAUCUCUUCGUUGAGUGCAGUGGGUCUUCAGAUCACCCAUCAUACAGUCUGUUUCUCUUUAGACCAUACAGCAAAUCUGUUCUAGUAUUUCUAUGAAUAGUUUGUUUCUUUAUUUAUUUAUAUAUUACUGGUAGGUGUUCAUCCAAAUAUUAGUGCAAUCAAUUUUGCUUUACUCCAUUAGCUGUGCCUUGGUGUUUGCAGAUCUUCUGAUCUGCAGACCAUAAUGAUAACUAAAUCAUCAAAUAACAAUAAUCUUGCUCCUCAAGUUGCAGUGUCCCAGCCCUUUGGAGAAAUACAGCCAUAACCCAUAGGAAAAACAGUGUCCAUUUUUAGCACAAGCAACACCAAGAUACAAAUCACAUCACAGGCAGAGUUAAUUAAGUCAGGCACCUACUGUUUGCCUAUAGUUUGAAAAGGCUAUUAACUUGAAGGUCUGCUGUAGUGCUAAGAUGAAAUAAUUAACUGAUGCAUUGUGUGACAUGAUGAACGCAUUCCUAAAGGGGCUUGUUACCGUGACUUUUUUGGGAUAACACAGUGAAAUUUUAGACAAUAUACCACAGCAGUUUAAAGGGGAAAAAAUGCUUACAGGUCUUUCUUAGACAAGUAAGAAAAAGGUCAGGAGCUCUUACCAUUGAUUAUACAGUGUGCAGAACCACACAGCUGUUAAAACUAUCAAAGGAGCAUCAGCACUUUGGCACCUACUUUUGUUAGUUUGAACAAGUAAUUUUGGCAGUUGCUGUGAAUAUUUUUUUUUAAUUUGUAGUAUAUGCAUACAUAGGAAGUCUGCAUUUUGUUUAAAAUAAUAUUGAAUUACAUACAUGGUAUCACUAUCACUACAAAGGAAUUUCUUUUAUCUAUUUAGUGCAACUAUCUUGAUGACUGAAGUAUCUUCUUUUCUCAGUUGACCUCCUAACACUUCCAUUUCACACCAUAAGAAGACUCUUCGAUCCAGGAAAAAAAAGACAUUCUGAGUAGGCUAAAGAACAAUUCCUGUGGUAUGAAAUAGGAUUGAAAGGAUUAAAAUGAGAGACAGGAGACAAAGUGCAGUCUCUGCCAGGAUUUAGAUCAGCUACAUUCACAAAUCAGACUCCAUAAUCAUGCUCCAUUCGAACUGUAAUUUAUUUCAGACAGAGAUAGAGAUCCUCACCAUCUCUUACACCCACAGAGUAGCUGUAUGGCUCCUGCAGGGUGAUCAGGAUUGCUUCAGUUGGAUGCUUCACUUGAGUGCCUUCCAGGCAAUUAAGGAGUCCCACAUGCUGAGCAAGAAGUUGUGGAAGACACACCGAGCAAGAGACUGUGCCUGCAUCCCUCUUCUCUCUAGAAGUCAGAAUCCACAGUCACAGCUCUCCUUCAGACUCUGUACAUUUGGGAUCUUGAGUGUGACAGAUUCCAAAGGGCUGAUCUGGGGUACUCAACCUGCACUGCAUUCUACCCCCUUAAAGCACUUGGGAAGUGUGGGCUUUGUCUUUUCACUCUCGCAGAAAUAAAACUUGCAUCUCUUAAAGCAUUUUGCCAAACCACAACACCAGACCCACUGUAAAAUUGAAGCAUUCUCCCUUCAACCUGAUGAGGAAUAAAAUGUGUGACCCACUGCAGAAGAGGCACUCUAAUUUGAGCAGAGCCGGGAAGAAAUGAGCAGAAGGGAGCUUCACUGCAUAAUCCAACAGUAAAGCAUUAACUAAGGAAAGGAGAAAAGGGAAACCUCACUUCACUGCUUCUAUUCAGCAUUAAAAGCCCUUUUCCUUGUUCAGUGAAUCCCAUUUCCCCAGCCCCUUCUCUGCUUUCCACAUCCAAGAAGAAAACUGAAAAAUUUAAGUCAUCCCACGUUAUUCAGCCACUCUUAAUUCACAAACAUGUUUCUCAGAGGUUAUCAGUAGUCUCCUAGUGGAGGCACCUCAAAAGAGACCUUUAUAUUUCCUAUCCCUGUCCUCAGGCUCCCUCUGAGAGAAAGCUCAGCUGUCCAUGCUCUCUCUCCCAGGGCAUUUGGAGGGACAGGCUGAGGGAUGGUACAUGUGCCAUCAGCCACAGGAUGUCCCUCUCAGGAGAUGCUGCUGCCACACUGACGCCAUAUGCCUUUUUAUUUUGUGACACCUGUUUACACAGCGUGAGGCAGAAAAAAGAUUACUUUCACAGCAGAAUGGGAAAUCAUGGAGCGUUCACUGGCAGACAGUGGGUUCAGGGAAUAUCUUGUGAAAGCAUUGAACAAUUCAUAUUGUCAGAACAUGUACAACUGUGCAAAUACAUGCUGUUUCCAGUCUCCUGUGUAAGAGCUGCAUUCACAAAUCAUUAAGCCAAAGAAAUCAAAUCCUGUAGCUAAAAGUUAUAAGCAAAAAAAAAAAUCAUUCACUUUUUCUGAUUAUUGUUUCUUAACAUCUCUGUGUUGGUUUUGAGCAAGGUGUGUUUUGCUUCCUUGACUAUUCUGCUUAGUAUUUCUAAAUUAAAAUAACUACUCUCUCCUGAGAGCAGAAUAUUUGUAUCUGUGACAGUAUACAACGUUACAAUGGCAUUACAGGCCUUUGGAAAAGUUUGAGAACAGGUUUUUUCCCAUUUUGUGAAUGCUUCAAGUGCUGGGGAGCAUGAACUGGUACAUUAGUUUAAACCAAAGUGGUUGUGAGGUAAAGUGCUGCAUAGCAUGAUCUCAGUCAUGGCCUGAUGCUCCUUUUCUCUUACUCUUCUGAGAUCAUAGUGACACAAGAGCAAGACAGUCAGUUUAAAUCUUGGGGAUUAAGUCUUCAACUGCUGCACUACAUUGACCAGAUCUGUCCAAUCAUGAAUGUCCUCUCCUCACUAUGCUGUGAUUUUCUUUUUUUUUUGGACAGUGAGCAUUUGAACCUGUACUAAUUGUUGCAAUGAGAAUAUACUGCAGGUGUAGUACAUGACAAAACAUAAGUACUCUAAUGCUCAGUACAGAAUAAAUAACUUGACUUAACAAUCUCCAAAAAAUAAAGAAACGUAGCAUUUUCCAGCUCUGAGAAAACUUCAUUGGCAUCUUCAUGCCCUCAAGAAGUGGCACAUGGCGGUAGGUGCGGCGGCACAGGAGCUGCGCGGGGCACGGGCAGGCACAGCCUGGCCACACAGCUCGGUCACACCAUCCGCAGGGACCGUCUGCCUCUGCCGGGCCAAUGCUCCCUGACCCUCAUCUGCUGCGUCAUUUCAUUUAUCUCACAAGAACUGAAAAUUAACCGUAAGCAUUUUAACACCUUAUGUAGAAUUUUCCUUUUUUUAUCCCUUCCUAUGCAUUU